GAAGCUCCGAGAAUGUAAAUCAGUCGCAAAAACUGUAGAGAGAUAUUGAAACAGUCCAUCUGAUACUUGGGGUUUCAAGUAUACACCACCAGUUAUGUAAGAAGCCUGCUGAAGAAAAGCAGAAUGCUGAGAUCCUAUUACACAUGAAUCAAUGGGUACCAUUGAACGUUGAGCUGAGAAAAUUGAAUUCAUGACUGCAACAUAUUGUCCCGGCCCAUCUGGAGAUCCAUGCAGACACAAUAUCCGAGGUUGUGGAUGAAGAGGCCCUGAACGAAAUACCCGUUGAAUGUAGCACAAAGCCAUAGAAAGUGCACCAGAAAGCAGCGAAAACCCAACUCCAUCAACAGAGUCUUCUUGACUCAAGGACUCAUCUUUAUCCACAAAAUCCUCCAGUUUCUCCAACAAACACUCAGCUCUUUGCAUUGACGAGGUAGACGAAUCGAAUACAUAAUCACAUGAAUUGUACCCAGUUGCAAU
Molecule: unclassified non-coding RNA, 477 nt
Filed under: Hevea brasiliensis (rubber tree)
Lineage: Eukaryota; Viridiplantae; Streptophyta; Magnoliopsida; Malpighiales; Euphorbiaceae
Source: RNAcentral